GAUGAACGCUGGCGGCGUGCCUAAUACAUGCAAGUCGAGCGAACAGACGAGGAGCUUGCUCCUUUGACGUUAGCGGCGGACGGGUGAGUAACACGUGGGUAACCUACCUAUAAGACUGGGAUAACUUCGGGAAACCGGAGCUAAUACCGGAUAAUAUUUCGAACCGCAUGGUUCGAUAGUGAAAGAUGGCUUUGCUAUCACUUAUAGAUGGACCUGCGCCGUAUUAGCUAGUUGGUAAGGUAACGGCUUACCAAGGCAACGAUACGUAGCCGACCUGAGAGGGUGAUCGGCCACACUGGAAGUGAGACACGGUCCAGACUCCUACGGGAGGCAGCAGUAGGGAAUCUUCCGCAAUGGGCGAAAGCCUGACGGAGCAACGCCGCGUGAGUGAUGAAGGUCUUCGGAUCGUAAAGCUCUGUUAUUAGGGAAGAACAAACGUGUAAGUAACUGUGCACGUCUUGACGGUACCUAAUCAGAAAGCCACGGCUAACUACGUG
Molecule: ribosomal RNA, 497 nt
Filed under: uncultured bacterium
Lineage: Bacteria
Description: partial 16S ribosomal RNA
Rfam family: Bacterial small subunit ribosomal RNA
Source: RNAcentral